Dicentrarchus labrax (European seabass) is the source of this 448-nucleotide long non-coding RNA. RefSeq lists it as uncharacterized. The record is from RefSeq and is a predicted model, not a curated record. The transcript has 3 exons. NCBI's taxonomy places the organism in Eukaryota, Metazoa, Chordata, Actinopteri, Moronidae.
GAGUGGGUGUCUGUGGAAUCUGAUUGUGUGUGAGUGUGAGAGAGACAGGAAGCAGAGAGAGGAAGACAGGACGACAAAAGGUGAGGAGAUAGAGGGAGUGACAAAAGGAGAGAUGGAGGGAAGACACCGAAAGUACAUUCAAUGAUUUGGAGAGCUUACACAGGUCACUGGGAAAAGACAGUGGGGAGCAGAGGGAUGAGUACAUGGAACAGCGCGGAUGUACAGGUGCAUCGUGGGGAACUUCAUUCUAUGCAAACACAGGGAGAACAUGCAAACACCAGACAGAAAGGCCCUGCCCCAGCCAGGAUUCAACCCAGGACCUUCUUGCUGUGAGGAAAACAGCUGUGUGUGAGGUUAUCAUUUGAGAUAAAAGACACAUCCUGGAAUCAGAAACCUGUCAUUUCCACAUGGUAUGUGAUUUCCCAUCUAAUCCAAGCAACAUCUAAAA